CCUACGGGGGGCUGCAGUGGGGAAUAUUGGACAAUGGGGGGAACCCUGAUCCAGCCAUGCCGCGUGUGUGAAGAAGGCCCUCGGGUUGUAAAGCACUUUCAGUGAGGAAGAACGCCUGGUGGUUAAUACCCAUCAGGAAAGACAUCACUCACAGAAGAAGCACCGGCUAACUCCGUGCCAGCAGCCGCGGUAAUACGGAGGGGGCGAGCGUUAAUCGGAAUUACUGGGCGUAAAGCGCGCGUAGGUGGCUUGAUAAGCCGGUUGUGAAAGCCCCGGGCUCAACCUGGGAACGGCAUCCGGAACUGUCAAGCUAGAGUGCAGGAGAGGAAGGUAGAAUUCCCGGUGUAGCGGUGAAAUGCGUAGAGAUCGGGAGGAAUACCAGUGGCGAAGGCGGCCUUCUGGACUGACACUGACACUGAGGUGCGAAAGCGUGGGUAGCAAACAGGAUUAGAUACCCGUGUAGUC
This 465-nucleotide ribosomal RNA is filed under the name Vreelandella stevensii. Its description in RNAcentral is "partial 16S ribosomal RNA". It matches the Rfam family "Bacterial small subunit ribosomal RNA", at positions 338 to 795 of the family's 1533-position model. The record is from RNAcentral. Lineage: Bacteria; Pseudomonadati; Pseudomonadota; Gammaproteobacteria; Oceanospirillales; Halomonadaceae.